GACGAACGCUGGCGGCGUGCCUAAUACAUGCGAGUUGAGCGCUGAAGGUUGGUACUUGUACCAACUGGAUGAGCAGCGAACGGGUGAGUAACGCGUGGGGAAUCUGCCUUUGAGCGGGGGACAACAUUUGGAAACGAAUGCUAAUACCGCAUAAAAACUUUAAACACAAGUUUUAAGUUUGAAAGAUGCAAUUGCAUCACUCAAAGAUGAUCCCGCGUUGUAUUAGCUAGUUGGUGAGGUAAAGGCUCACCAAGGCGAUGAUACAUAGCCGACCUGAGAGGGUGAUCGGCCACAUUGGGACUGAGACACGGCCCAAACUCCUACGGGAGGCAGCAGUAGGGAAUCUUCGGCAAUGGACGAAAGUCUGACCGAGCAACGCCGCGUGAGUGAAGAAGGUUUUCGGAUCGUAAAACUCGGUUGGUAGAGAAGAACGUUGGUGAGAGUGGAAAGCUCAUCAAGUGACGGUAACUACCCAGAAAGGGACGGCUAACUACGUG
Molecule: ribosomal RNA, 497 nt
Filed under: uncultured bacterium
Lineage: Bacteria
Description: partial 16S ribosomal RNA
Rfam family: Bacterial small subunit ribosomal RNA
Source: RNAcentral